CUUAAUCACGUGAAGCCUCUGGGGGUUACAUUUGUAAGUGUUUAAUUGUGCAAAUUGCCACCUUGUGUGUCUCCUCCUUGACUGCCUGCAUGUUUUCCAUUAGAGAAUGCAAAGCAGACUUCUAGGUGCUUAACUCCUGUUCCCCUAGAAGUGUCAGACCAAAGUAAAGGAACACAUUGAUAAGACAUGAGCUGAUCCACCAACUGAGCCCUUGGAAUAGAACAUUUAAAUGAUUACAAAAUAUGAAUUUUAAAUAGAUGGAAUUGAAAAUGGUCCCGUUGGGAUAGAAAUCAAUUUGGUAGCCUCAUGUAUGAGAAAUCAGGUAGCCAGAAGAAAUGACAUCGUUCCUUUUCAUGACAUUCUGUUGUCCUUUGUUAGUAAGUUGGGCGUUUUUCCCAAAUUGGUCUCCAGCCACACCUCUUCUUCAUCACUGCCGAAACAGCUUGUUCAUUUCCUUUUCAGAGGGUUGCAUGUCCAGUCCCAGAGCAUGCGCAUCCCCAAGGCAAGCGUGCUAAAUGUGUUUCAGGUCAUGCUUACACACUUCUUGACAACUGCAUUCCCACUGUAGGCUCCCGUGUGUGCGUACUGUUGUCUCAUGUUGGGAAGGAAGAGUUAGAGAUGAGAUCGCCUCUGUCCACGAGGUUUCUUUCAUACGUCAUAGGAAACAUGGCUUCCUGUGCAGCUACCAUCACCUUCAGCUCAAGUGAGCCAUCAGGACUGUGUGCUGCGGGGAAAGAGAUUUGUCUGCUUGGGGACAGUAUUUAGUGAUAGCCACAGAGUUCGGAGCCUUAAAAGUCGAAGGUAGCAUUACAUUGCUCUGUGUCCUGUGACCCUGCUCAAAGUUUCUGAAUUUCAGAGUCACAAAGGAUUGUUCCUACCCUUUGAUACUGGGCUAUUCCAAAUAAGCUGGUUUACACCUCCCAGAAGGUGCCAGCGAGUUUUACUCCCUGAACCACUCUCACCAGCAACUGACCGCACCACCCAAACUGUCUUCCAAGCAUUAGAUGAAGCCAGCUUUUCAUACCGCCUGCCCCACACGUACUAUUUCCCAGGUUCUCCCUUUUCCUGGACUCCUCCUCCUCCUCAUUCUGCUCCCCCCUGGAGUAAGAAUCUGGGACAGAGGUUACUGGGGAAACAACUCAGCAGAUGUUUAGAGACAAAAAGGCCUCUCUAAGAAACUUAUCUGUUUUAAAACAUUGCUUCCUUCCUGGCUCUGCUAAAUUGAAUGCUCAUUGUUGUUGUUGUUGUUUAAUUCUAAUGUUCAAAUCACUUUGUGCUGUAUGACUCUAGACAGCCUUAAUUUACUACCACCAAGAAAUAAAGCAAUAUGUUGGUAAUCAG
Heterocephalus glaber (naked mole-rat) is the source of this 1341-nucleotide long non-coding RNA. NCBI's taxonomy places the organism in Eukaryota, Metazoa, Chordata, Mammalia, Rodentia, Bathyergidae. The record is from Ensembl.